RNAcentral lists this ribosomal RNA (468 nucleotides) under uncultured bacterium. RNAcentral describes it as "partial 16S ribosomal RNA". It matches the Rfam family "Bacterial small subunit ribosomal RNA", at positions 28 to 507 of the family's 1533-position model. The record is from RNAcentral.
GACGAACGCUGGCGGCGUGCUUAACACAUGCAAGUCGAACGGAAAGGCCCUGCUUUUGUGGGGUGCUCGAGUGGCGAACGGGUGAGUAACACGUGAGUAACCUGCCCUUGACUUUGGGAUAACUUCAGGAAACUGGGGCUAAUACCGGAUAGGAGCUCCUGCUGCAUGGUGGGGGUUGGAAAGUUUCGGCGGUUGGGGAUGGACUCGCGGCUUAUCAGCUUGUUGGUGGGGUAGUGGCUUACCAAGGCUUUGACGGGUAGCCGGCCUGAGAGGGUGACCGGCCACAGUGGGACUGAGAUACGGCCCAGACGCCUACGGGAGGCAGCAGUGGGGAAUAUUGCACAAUGGGCGGAAGCCUGAUGCAGCAACGCCGCGUGCGGGAUGACGGCCUUCGGGGUGUAAACCGCUUUCGCCUGUGACGAAGCGUGAGUGACGGUAAUGGGUAAAGAAGCACCGGCUAACUACGUG